RNAcentral lists this transfer RNA (71 nucleotides) under Cordylochernes scorpioides. RNAcentral describes it as "tRNA-Gly". It matches the Rfam family "tRNA". Rfam says of the family: Transfer RNA (tRNA) molecules are approximately 80 nucleotides in length. Their secondary structure includes four short double-helical elements and three loops (D, anti-codon, and T loops). Lineage: Eukaryota; Metazoa; Arthropoda; Arachnida; Pseudoscorpiones; Chernetidae. The record is from RNAcentral.
GCAUCGGUGGUUAAGUGGUAGAAUGCUCGCCUGCCACGCGGGCGGCCAGGGUUCGAUUCCCGGCCGAUGCA